This 490-nucleotide ribosomal RNA is filed under the name uncultured bacterium. RNAcentral's name for it is "partial 16S ribosomal RNA". It matches the Rfam family "Bacterial small subunit ribosomal RNA", at positions 30 to 507 of the family's 1533-position model. The record is from RNAcentral.
AUUGAACGCUGGCGGCAGGCCUAACACAUGCAAGUCGAACGGUAACAGGAAGAAGCUUGCUUCUUUGCUGACGAGUGGCGGACGGGUGAGUAAUGUCUGGGAAACUGCCUGAUGGAGGGGGGUAACUACUGGAAACGGUAGCUAAUACCGCAUAACGUCGCAAGACCAAAGAGGGGGACCUUCGGGCCUCUUGCCAUCGGAUGUGCCCAGAUGGGAUUAGCUAGUAGGUGGGGUAACGGCUCACCUAGGCGACGAUCCCUAGCUGGUCUGAGAGGAUGACCAGCCACACUGGAACUGAGACACGGUCCAGACCCCUACGGGAGGCAGCAGUGGGGAAUAUUGCACAAUGGGCGCAAGCCUGAUGCAGCCAUGCCGCGUGUAUGAAGAAGGCCUUCGGGUUGUAAAGUACUUUCAGCGGGGAGGAAGGGAGUAAAGUUAAUACCUUUGCUCAUUGACGUUACCCGCAGAAGAAGCACCGGCUAACUCCGUG